AUUGAACGCUGGCGGCAUGCCUUACACAUGCAAGUCGAACGGCAGCACGGGAGCAAUCCUGGUGGCGAGUGGCGAACGGGUGAGUAAUAUAUCGGAACGUGCCCAGUCGUGGGGAUAACGUAGCGAAAGCUACGCUAAUACCGCAUACGAUCUAUGGAUGAAAGCGGGGAUCGCAAGACCUCGCGCGAUUGGAGCGGCCGAUAUCAGAUUAGGUAGUUGGUGAGGUAAGGCUCGCCAAGCCGACGAUCUGUAGCUGGUCUGAGAGGACGGACCAGCCACACUGGGACUGAGACACGGCCCAGACUCCUACGGGAGGCAGCAGUGGGGAAUUUUUGGACAAUGGGCGCAAGCCUGAUCCAGCAAUGCCGCGUGCAGGAUGAAGGCCUUCGGUUGU
Molecule: ribosomal RNA, 394 nt
Filed under: uncultured bacterium
Lineage: Bacteria
Description: bacterial SSU rRNA
Rfam family: Bacterial small subunit ribosomal RNA
Source: RNAcentral